This 460-nucleotide ribosomal RNA is filed under the name uncultured bacterium. Its description in RNAcentral is "partial 16S ribosomal RNA". It matches the Rfam family "Bacterial small subunit ribosomal RNA", at positions 338 to 795 of the family's 1533-position model. The record is from RNAcentral.
CCUACGGGAGGCAGCAGUGAGGAAUAUUGGUCAAUGGACGAGAGCCUGAACCAGCCAAGUAGCGUGAAGGAUGACUGCCCUAUGGGUUGUAAACUUCUUUUAUAUGGGAAUAAAAUGUUCCACGUGUGGGAUUUCGUAUGUACCAUAUGAAUAAGGAUCGGCUAACUCCGUGCCAGCCGCCGCGGUAAUACGGAGGAUCCGAGCGUUAUCCGGAUUUAUUGGGUUUAAAGGGAGCGUAGGUGGGUUGUUAAGUCAGUUGUGAAAGUUUGCGGCACAACCGUAAAACUGCAGUUGAAACUGGCAGUCUUGAGUACAGUAGAGGUGGGCGGAAUGCGUGGUGUAGCGGUGAAAUGCUUAGAUAUCACGAAGAACUCCGAUUGCGAAGGCAGUUCACUGGACUGCAACUGACGCUGAGGCUCGAAAGUGUGGGUAUCAAACAGGAUUAGAUACCCUAGUAGUC